Molecule: long non-coding RNA, 711 nt
Organism: Cervus elaphus (red deer)
Lineage: Eukaryota; Metazoa; Chordata; Mammalia; Artiodactyla; Cervidae
Exons: 2
Source: RefSeq, a predicted model, not a curated record
CCAGGCAAGAAUACUGGAGUAGGCUGCUGUUUUCUUCUCUAGGGGAUCUUCCUGACCCAAAGAUCGAACCCGCUUCUCCUUCGCUGGUGGGCGGACUCUUUACCACUGAACCACCUGGGAAGUGCCCCAACCCCACCAUUAUUCUUGGUUUUUCUCAAAUAGUCUUCAAGAAAAAAGUUGAUUUGGUUGGGAAACUACUUUGGGGGCCCAGCUGAAAAAAUGAAACCUCAGAAAAUUGACAAGAGACAAUACUGUCCUGCUCCUUGCUCUAAGACACAACUGGAGAUCAACACUGGGGUACAGGCAAUGGAAUUAUGUGUCUUUGUUCAAAUGAACUGAAUAAUCAGAAAAAGAAGAGGAUUCUGUGUUUUCAUUAACCAGUAGACAUUCCACCAUUUUCAUUGUAAGGUCAAAUAUACUUCAAAAAUAUCAGAGACAAGAAGUCAGUGGGCCAGUAUAUUCAAAGUGCUCAAAUCAAAACGUCAAGCAAAAGUCCUCUACCGAGCAGAACUGCCCUUCAAAAGUGAGGGAGAAAUUAAGAUGUUCUCAGAUAAACAAAAGCUGAGGGAAUUUGUUACCACUAAGACCUGCUCAACGGAGACUCCAAGGUGAAAUGAAAGGACCCGAGACAGUACCUCAAAGGCAUAUUGAGAAAUAAAAUUUCAGUAACAGUAAAUACAUGGGUAAUAAUAAAAGUAAUAUUAAAAAUGA